UUGCUCUUCAACGAGGAAUGCCUAGUAAGCGCAUGUCAUCAGCAUGCGUUGAUUACGUCCCUGCCCUUUGUACACACCGCCCGUCGCUACUACCGAUUGAAUGGCUCAGUGAGGCCUCCGGACUGGCUCGAAGAGGUUGGCAACGACCACUUCGAGCCGGAAAGCUGGUCAAACUCGGUCAUUUAGAGGAAGUAAAAGUCGUAACAAGGUUUCCGUAGGUGAACCUGCGGAAGGAUCAUUACCUAGAGUUUGUAGACUUCGGUCUGCUACCUCUUACCCAUGUCUUUUGAGUACCUUCGUUUCCUCGGCGGGUCCGCCCGCCGAUUGGACAACAUUCAAACCCUUUGCAGUUGCAAUCAGCGUCUGAAAAAACAUAAUAGUUACAACUUUCAACAACGGAUCUCUUGGUUCUGGCAUCGAUGAAGAACGCAGCGAAAUGCGAUAAGUAGUGUGAAUUGCAGAAUUCAGUGAAUCAUCGAAUCUUUGAACGCACAUUGCGCCCCUUGGUAUUCCGAGGGGCAUGCCUGUUCGAGCGUCAUUACACCACUCAAGCUAUGCUUGGUAUUGGGCGUCGUCCUUAGUUGGGCGCGCCUUAAAGACCUCGGCGAGGCCACUCCGGCUUUAGGCGUAGUAGAAUUUAUUCGAACGUCUGUCAAAGGAGAGGAACUCCGCCGACUGAAACCUUUAUUUUUCUAGGUUGACCUCGGAUCAGGUAGGGAUACCCGCUGAACUUAAGCAUAUCAAUAAGCGGAGGA
RNAcentral lists this ribosomal RNA (755 nucleotides) under uncultured fungus. Its description in RNAcentral is "eukaryotic LSU rRNA". The stretch from base 1 to 241 matches the Rfam family "Eukaryotic small subunit ribosomal RNA", at positions 1593 to 1831 of the family's 1831-position model. The record is from RNAcentral. Lineage: Eukaryota; Fungi.